AUGGACUGGAGCGCGGUGACGGCGGAGGACCUGGUGGCCGCGCUGCGGGAGGUGGACUGGUCCACGCCGCCGCGCCCCGUCCCCGAGUUCUUCUCCCGCUUCACCGUCCCCCGCUCCUACUCCAAGUGGACCAGCCGCCUCAAGUGCAACCUCUACUACUACAGGACAAACUACUUCAUCUUGAUCAUGUUCAUUCUUGGGUUGGGUUUCCUUUGGAAGCCAGUUGCUAUUCUUGCAGCUUUUAUGACCGGAUUCAGCAUUGCAUUUCUUAAUGACAGCUUUGCUGUUACUUUUAAUGAGAAAGUCACAAGAACUGUCAGACAGUUCUCACCACAUUUAGCUGCAAAGAUGAGACCACCGAUAACCCCUGUUAUUCGUGGCCGACCAAGCUCAAAGAGAUCAAUUCAUAUUUGUGGGCGGCCUCGCUGGUUGUUUGUCCUUUUAUUUUCGGCAGUUAGCUGCAUGCUCUGGUUGACCUCAUGCAGUCUCCUCACAGUUCUAUGGGCACUUCUCAUUGCUCUGCUUACAACGGUACUUCAUGCCAGCUUCAGAACACCUAAUUUGAAAGCACGCCUGAAUACGUUCAGAGAGGAAUUCCGAGCAGUUUGGCGGAAUUAUAGUGAGCUCUAG
This 630-nucleotide ribosomal RNA is filed under the name Triticum aestivum (bread wheat). Its description in RNAcentral is "partial small subunit ribosomal RNA". Lineage: Eukaryota; Viridiplantae; Streptophyta; Magnoliopsida; Poales; Poaceae. The record is from RNAcentral.